RNAcentral lists this ribosomal RNA (468 nucleotides) under uncultured bacterium. RNAcentral describes it as "partial 16S ribosomal RNA". It matches the Rfam family "Bacterial small subunit ribosomal RNA", at positions 28 to 507 of the family's 1533-position model. The record is from RNAcentral.
GACGAACGCUGGCGGCGUGCUUAACACAUGCAAGUCGAACGGAAAGGCCCUGCUUUUGUGGGGUGCUCGUGUGGCGAACGGGUGAGUAACACGUGAGUAACCCGCCCUUGUCUUUGGGAUAACUUCAGGAGACUGGGGCUCAUACCGGAUAGGAGCUCCUGCUGCAUGGUGGGGGUUGGAAAGUUUCGGCGGUUGGGGAUGGACUGGCGGCUUAUCAGCUUGUUUGGGGGGUAGGGGCUUACGAAGGCUUUGACGGGUAGCCGGCCUGAGAGGGUGACCGGCGACAAUGGGACUGAGAGACGGACCAGAAUGGUACGGGACGCAGUAGUGGGAAACAUUGCACAACGGGGGGAAGCCAGAUACAGCAACGCCGCGUGCGUGAUGAUGUCCUACGGGUGGUAAACCGCUUUCGCCGGUGACGAAGCGUUAUUGACGGUAACGGGUAAAGAAGCACCGGCUAACUACGUG